Molecule: ribosomal RNA, 253 nt
Filed under: uncultured bacterium
Lineage: Bacteria
Description: partial 16S ribosomal RNA
Rfam family: Bacterial small subunit ribosomal RNA
Source: RNAcentral
UACGGGGGGGGUAAGCGUUGUUCGGAAUUACUGGGCGUAAAGGGCUCGUAGGCGGCCAACUAAGUCGGACGUGAAAUCCCUCAGCUUAACUGGGGAACUGCGUCUGAUACUGGAUGGCUUGGAUUUGGGAGAGGGAUGCGGAAUUCCAGGUGUAGCGGUGAAAUGCGUAGAUAUCUGGAGGAACACCGGUGGCGAAGGCGGCAUCCUGGACCAACAUUGACGCUGAGGAGCGAAAGCCAGGGGAGCAAACGGG